RNAcentral lists this ribosomal RNA (376 nucleotides) under uncultured bacterium. RNAcentral's name for it is "bacterial SSU rRNA". It matches the Rfam family "Bacterial small subunit ribosomal RNA", at positions 28 to 362 of the family's 1533-position model. The record is from RNAcentral.
GAUGAACGCUGGCGGCGUGCCUAAUACAUGCAAGUCGAACGCAUUGUGGUUGAAAUGAUAUGAAGAACUUGUUCAGAUUUGAUUUUCAACAUUGCAAUGAGUGGCGAACGGGUGAGUAACACGUGGGAAACCUACCUCUUAGCAGGGGAUAACAUUUGGAAACAAAUGCUAAUACCGUAUAAUAAUUAAAACCGCAUGGUUUUAGUUUAAAAGAUGGUCUUGCUAUCACUAAGAGAUGGUCCCGCGGUGUAUUAGUUAGUUGGUGAGGUAAUGGCUCACCAAGACAAUGAUACAUAGCCCGAGUUGAGAGACUGACCGGCCACAAUGGGGACCUGAGACCACGGCCCAUACUCCUACGGGAGCAGCAGUAGGGAAU